GAUGAAAUGAAUGCUCUAUAAAUUUAAAAUAAACUUAGGAAAAUGAGCUUCUGAUGGGUCUGUUUUAUGACUGAGAAGUGAUGUGAAAUUCACAUACUAGGUGUAUUUCAGAGCAGAGAGGCCGCAGCAGUCCUGGAUCGGCUGGAAGUGACAGUUGUAAGAGUGAUUGCAAACCUACAAGAUGAGCCAAAGAGAGUGAGCCCAUGACUCUGUGCAUCACAGAAGCCCCGAGGUAGACAGAUAAUCCAUCGAAUAGAAGUGACAGACUAAUUUGUAAGCAAAAGGAUUUGUAAUAUUUAGCAAAAAGAUAAGGGUACUCCAUAGCACUAAAAUAUAAGGCAAUUGCACUGACAGUCCUGCUUAAGGAAUGGAAAAGAGAAGGAUAAACUAUGUAUAAUGCUUUAUGGUUUAUAAGGUCCUUUAUAAUAUUUGUUCUUCACAACAAAAUAAUGAUCACUUCUAUUUUUUGAUGAAUAAAUUGAGGUUUGAUGAGGUUAAAUAUGUGACCCUCAAACCAUAUUUCAGGCAUUCAUUCACUACAAUAUCUACUGAAUUAACUGUAGCUAUUUCUUAAAUUUGUAGUGAUGUUGUUAUGUUAUGACUUUGACCAUAGAAAAUGGAAGAGUAUAUCUAUUAGCUCUUGAAUUUAGAACAGCUCCCAUUUUUUUCUUUAAGCAACAUUUUGCUCUUAAAGUCUCAUGGUCAGAUGCUUCCUGGCAUUUGGCUGGAGGAAUGUAUAGCUAGGGUCUAGUGAGGUAUGGCAUUGUUCCCUUGAAAAAGGAAUGAGGCCAGGCAUGGGAGGGCCUGGGUCUAGCUUAUUCCCCCGGCUGACAAGGAUCAUUUGAGCUCCUUCAUGACCAGAACUCAUCCAGGGAUGCCAUGGAGACUGACUCAAACUCUUCAGUUGCAGAAUUCUUUGGCUAAAAUGAGUAUUAUACAGAAGUCCACAGUAUUUUUUUUUUCUUAAAAAGAAAAACCAAAAACAAAAGUAGAACUACUUUUGCUGAUGAGGAGAAAGUAGACGCAGAUUUCUGCCUUGCACAUAGUAGGCACUUAAAUUUUGAAUAAGUGAAUAUCUACCUCUGCGGUAACCUCUUGGCUAACUGUGGAUUAACUCAUCUCAUGUCCCGUGGGUCCAGGCUGCCCCUCUGUGCAGUGUGGCUGUCUGGUCUCAGGGCCUUCAAACUCUAAUAGGAUCCUUUGGGAGCUAAAAUGCCUCACCCCAACAGCGCCCCUAAAGGUGGGCAUUUCACACACUGAGGACAGAGUAGCUAAGAACACAUAACCAUGACCAUGUUGCCCACUUAGUUUAUUCAUGGGGGCAGAUGUGCAGUGGAAACAAGGGAGAUCCUUUAAGACUUGUGGUGUGACACAGCUGAUGCUUCUGGAAGGCCAGCAGGAGUUACAGCAGAGCAGAACUUCUUUUCAAAAACAGUUGAAUACUAGGUCAGUAUUCAAGUGACCCACUAUAGCUUUCCCUCUUAUCUUAUUUCAUAUAAUUCAUCCUAGAGCCACACAAAACACAGCCUUUCCCCCUAAACCUCUACCUACUCUGUAAGCAACCUCAAAUCACAUUUCUAUUAUAAAAAAGGAAUGUAUUAUUUUUCUCGUGCUAUGAAUGGGAAAACUAAUACUCUACAAAAUGUGUCUUAGAAAGGAGGCCAGAGGCUGAACCGACACCAGAAAUGAUGAACAUUUGGUCUUUCAAAUGUGGAAGCAGAAAAUGAAUGGUGCCAGAUAUUUGAUUUGAAUAAUAAGCCCCAAAAUGUAAUCCUAACAUUUAAAGCUAUAAAACAAACCAACAACAACAACAACAAAAAUACAUAAAAUGAUGUUGAAAUUAAGAGAGAAACUUUUUGGGGGGAUUGUUUUCUCAGCACUUUUCUUGCCUUGACCCUCCUAUUCUCACUAUUAAGAUGUUACAAGAAGUGGUUUUUAUGCAACAUUAAAUUGUCCUAACCAUCUUCAACAACUCAAUACAAGAUUCAUAAACAAAAAGCACAGGUUACAAUCUCCUGUCUAUAUCUGGUCAGAUUUAUGAAGCUUGCAAAAUACGUAACACUUGGAGUCUCCAUCAUCCCGAGAUGGGUGUAGCUGAGCAACUCCUGCAUGACGUUGAGCUGUUCUGAACAAUCUCUGCUGGGGCUUCUUCUCUCCCUUCAAAGACAGUUUGCUUAGAGCUGCUGGGCACCAAUCACUUGAUCAUCGUGCCAGGAAAAGCCAAUUUCUUUACUAUUUACGUCACACUCACUGGGUGCCAGGUGGUGUCCUGAAUGCUUUGCUAAUAUUGACUCAAUCCUUGAAACAAACCCAUGAGGUAAGUACUGUUAAUACCCAAGUUUCACAGACGAGAACAUGGUGGUACAGAUGAGUUAGGCAGCGUGCUCGCAUAUCUCAUGGCUGCGAAGAGCUGUGGCCUGUAUUGGGCCCCAGGAGUCUAGCUGUAGAGCAGGAAUCUGCAGUUGUCCCCUCUGUGGCCCUCGCAGUUAAAUGACAACAAUGAGCAUCUCUGAGAGCACAGCAGAUGGCCCUGGGAUCUGCAUGCAGCGGGGACUCUUGUGGAUGUAUUUUCCUGCUCAUGCCUGAAAGAGCCCCUUGAAGGCUUUGGUUAAGCAGAGUCCACUCUGGGUGAGCUCUCUUAGAAUGUGACCUAGACCUGGACUUUCUGAACUUUUUCAAGUAAAGGAAAGAACAGGAAUGGGUCAUUGAAAAUAUCCUAAAGCUUUAUGUGUUCUGUUUUCAGAGUUUUUCCGAGUCUCUAUGCAAGGGUCACUUCCCACAUGUCUGAGAAGGAAAGAGGAGGUGAGAGGAGAGAAAUAGAGAAUCAGAAUCUGCCCUUGAAUGAAACACUAUUUGAAGCAUUAAAUCACUAAGAGAAUGCAACCCUUGAAGGCAGAUUGAACAUGGAACUUCUGUUACCUUAUUAAGUCAAACCAGUUAGAAACCAGAUGUCUCCUAAGAAAUGGAACAUAUUUGUUUACAAACAUAUAUAGUAAAUGACAAGAUGUAUGGAAAAUAAAUAUGACACUCUCUGAAUUUUUAAAAAGAGUUCUUUACUAAGUUAGCAAGUGACAUAGGUAAGGUAGGAUCAGCCUAACAUGAAUAACAGUUUUCCUUUAAAGGACCCAGAAACGGGGAUCUAUAAAUAAAAUACAUUAGCCAUGCAGUAACUUUGCUUAAAAAAUAUUUUUUUGUGUUUAAUUAGUAAUGUUCUAUCACACCUUAAAGAAUGGGGCCUCACUUCUCUCAAACCUUCCCUUCCACAUGCCCUGGGUGAGGAGACAUGGAAUCAGUGACUCAAAGGACAAGUGGCACCAUUGCCACUAUCACUCAGGAGGUGAAUUGAUGCAAAAAUAAGACAGAUCAGAAGCAGGUGAUACGCUGCUAUUCAUAAACCCGUUCAUCCGAAAAUUGAAUGCCUCUCUCCAGACGUCACCCCUAAUGGGUAGCUGUACCUGGGCAUGCUCACCCAGCUUUUGGAUGAAACUCUUCCUCCGAGGGUGACAGGGAGUGGAGAAAUGAUGCUGGCCACGGGACAGGCAUGGAGAGCCUGCCCUUCCAACUUGCUUCUGUGAGUGCUCGUCUGGGGAUCCCUGCAGCACCUCCGACUCACCACGUCCAGGACUCAAUGCACCACCUGCGUCUCCUGUGUUCUCCAGUGCUGAAAACGGCAUCACCAUCCUAACACCCAAGCUUCUCAGUCAUUUUUGAAUCAUCUUCUUCUCUGCAGCCCAUACUUAAUGAACUCUUCAGUCUUGCUGAUUUUAAGGUGCCAACUUCUCAGGCUUUUUCCUCCUCUCCAUUAUCCUGGUGCAAACCCUUGAGAAUGGCCCUUGAGCCCCUGACCUAAGCCCUAGAAAUAGUGCCAUGAGCAAACAUCUACACUCGUUUCUUUCAAAAGACCUUUGCUAAGCCAUGGCUAACAUUUUCAUUUCCGUCAUACCUGGACUGCUGUCGCUGGUCUCUACAACCAAGAGCGCUCUGCACACACUGUUGUUCUGACUCUCUCAAUCACUCCAAAUAUAUAAAAGACUCACUUCCACCCAGACACAUCCCCCCCAUUUGAUACAGUUUGGACCUAUUUCCCUGCCCAAAUAUCACGUCGAAUUGUGGUCCCCAGUGUUGGAGGUGGGGCCUGGUGGGAGGUGAUUGGAUCAUGGCUGCGGAUUUCCCCCUCAGUACUGUCCUCACGAUAGUGUAUGAGUUCAUCUGAGAUCUGGUCAUUUAAUAGUGCGUAGUAUCUGCUCCCUAAUCUCGCUCCUGCUCCAACCAUGUAAGACGGGCCUGCUUCUCCUUCGCCUUUUGCCACGAUUGUAAGUUUCCUGAGGCAGAAGCCCAGGAGCAGAAGCCGCUAUGCUUCCUGUACAGCCUGCAGAACCAUGAGCUCAUCAAACCUUGUUUCUUUAUAAAUUACACAGUCUCAGGUAUUUCCUUACAACUGUGUGAGAAUGCACUAAUACACCCCUCAGGAAGUUUCCCUGUCCUCUAGAAGUGUAACUAUAUCUCAGCUUGGGAGGGCAAGCAGGGAUUAAGGUCCUAUAGGCCCCAAAUGCCCAUAGGCAUGAAUAGCUUUUCUUCCAGCAUUGGAAUAGAUGCAGCAGCUGAAGUGGCUCGCUUCUGUUAGGGCGUGGUUGCACUGGAGGGCCAUGACGUAAUUACUACACUUCAGAGGCAGGUGAAGAGCUGAAACUGACAGAGGAAUGCAGGAUUCUUAUGUUUGAUCUCAUGGUCUCUCCAGAGUGUGGACCCAAGAGUAGCGUGGAAGGUGGAGUGGACAGAAGGGGGCCUGGCCUGCUCUCUGGGCCUGGUUGGAUUUGAAUAAAUUACAGUAGAUGCAUGCUGACUUCACAUUGCAAUCGCAGCCUCGUCCUGCUUGUUUUUAUUUUCAACUCAAGUCCGUCAAUCAGUUUUCAUCCUUCAGGUUUGGCCCUGUUGUUUCCUCACUCAUGUAUAAUCUUUCACACAAACUAUCUCUUAGGGUAGGGGCGUGGGGGAACUAUAGACUAAUUCCCUUCAUUCAUUUUGUAUGCAUCCACUGCAGUAAAAAUCAAUUUAGAAUCCAUCACUCUUAGGAUGCUUUUCUGAUUAAGUAAGAAACAUUUACCAUCCACACAGCAUAUCAAGCUUUACCACUGGACAAUUUUAAUGCAGAUUAAAGCAUAAAGUAGCUCUCUGCUUUUUCCAAGAUCCAGACUGGUCCCCUAGAAAGCCUUCCCCGAUGCCCCCAGAUAAAGCGAGUCAUCCCCUCUACUCAGUCCCACCCCACAGAAUCCAGCCCAGUAUAAUAAGGUCACAGCCUACAUCGCCUUUAUUCAUGUGUCUCUGGAACUCAGCAUGCAGUAGGUAUUCAUUAAGUAUUGAUUUUAUGAGAUUCAAGGUUUCUAUUUGUAUAUAAGAGAUUUAGUUGGCUAACUAACAGUUUCAAUGGUUGAUUACAAUCCUAAAUGAUCCAUGUCACUGGGAAAUCAUAGACACAUCUUUAAAGAAGCUUCCUCUUUUAUUUCCAGCUUUGUUGAGAUAUAAUUGACAAAUAAAAAUUGUAUAUACUUAAGUUGUACACAUGAUGUUUUGAUAUAUGAAUACAUUGUGAAAUGAUUAUCAUAAUCAAGCUAAU
This 5614-nucleotide long non-coding RNA is filed under the name Homo sapiens (human). Its description in RNAcentral is "HSALNT0116240". Lineage: Eukaryota; Metazoa; Chordata; Mammalia; Primates; Hominidae. The record is from RNAcentral.